UAAAAAAAAGUCUUUUUCGCCGACAGAGAGAGAGAGAGAGUGAUCCAGUAGGGUGAUCGCGCUUCCGUACCUCGCGGAACGGAAACCCUAGGUCCCGAUUCGGAGGUCGGAGGAACCCUGACCCUGUCUCCGGGACGAUCGAGACCCCGCUCCCUCUCCCGCCACGAAAAGAUCACCAAAUUUCCCGCCCGCAGACUCGCGGGUCGAUUCAUUAAUCUGAUGCCGGGCAAUCGGUCGUAGGUGUUGGAUUCUUCUCCUUCUGCGUCUAGUUAUGCUACUUUGUUUGGAUUUGCCUGUCGAGGUGGCGAAGUUCGUGCUCUUGGCCCCGAUUUGAGAGGGAUAUGGUGGGGAUUACUCUUUUGGCUCAGUCACUUUUUGAGUGUUUAUGUUGAAGGAACUCAUAAUGAUAUCAGGAAAUUGCUUUUGUUUGGCAAGGAGAUAAAUGCACAAAAUAUCAGGGAAAUUAAGUUAUAACCCCCCCCCCUGGUCAGAGCAGGCUGGAUUUUUGCUAGGAGUGAAGUUUCUGAGGAGGUCUAGAUUUUCCUCAAGGAGUACUCAUUCUGUAUUCAUCCAUAUCAAGAAGCUGGAAGUUGGCUGACUUUGUAGAAUUUGCCAUGGGUCGUUCAGUAUUUGAAUAAUAUGCUGUGAAAUCUUAAUCUAAAAGGUUUCAGUUCUCAGUUCUGAGGUACUUUUGGUAGCCCCUUAGAAAAAGCACCUAAAAUUUGGAAAGCUUAGUGAUUUAUUUCUCUUUUGUAAAUGCUGCUAUUAAUUUAACAUAUGGAAAUCUAUGGAAGAGGAAGUUAAUAUGGUGCCUUAUCAAUGACAUUCAGUUAUUUGCCUCUCAGGAAGCCUGAUUCUUGUGUUUAAUAUGGUUUGUUUUUAAGGGUCUUUAUGUGGAGAUUAUAGGACAGAAAAGUAUAUUUUCAUCCAUAAAGUCACAAUUGGAUACUAAAUUUUCAAAGCAUAAGCUUGAGGCUUCUUUGGUACCGAUACUCAUAUUUUCUUUUAAUAUUUCUGAUGGCUAUUAAAGUAUCCAAGGAAAGCUGUUCUGAUCUUGUUGAAGAUUUAGAGGCAAGAGACUGCUGAAUAUGCUGCUUCUUAGGUGCUUCCUCUUUUGAGUGUCUCUUUCUUGUCCAAGACAGCACAUUGUGCAAGGAAUAAGCAGUUGUGGCAACAAUAUUUGAUGUACAAGCAGCUCCAAGAGGUUCAGAGACAGCAGCAACUUCAGCAGCUAGAUCAGGGAGCAGGCAGCUGAGUCCGCUUAGUCAGUUAUCUGCUGUAUCAAAGCCUGCAACAGGAAAUCAGUCACCCGCAAGCCAUCAGUCAAGCAUAUAGCAGUAUGUGGCUUAAUAAUUUUGUUGGAGGCACAUCCAACAUACCUAGUAAAUCUCAUGUGUUUAAAGCUGGAAACAUGAACUUGGUGCAGCCCAGUUGCUCUGUUGCCAUGCAGAACCAUGCAAAUGGUGUAAUUAUUUCAAAUGAUCAAAAUCAGGCAACACAAUCUAUGGGAUUUAUUCCACAAAAGAUGGAUCACUCUUUUCUUGGCAUGCCUACUUCAGAUACCAGCUCUGUCAACAACUAUUCACAUUUAUUAAGAAUGUCUGAUGAUUGUCAUGAUUUGAUGACUAAGGCAGCUGCAACCAAGGCAGAAAAGCCAACAUAUUCAUCUAGCACUUUGUGAGCUGAUUAUCAAGGGGCCUCACAAAGUUGCUUACAGGAUAAGGCUUUAGCUACUGCACAGAAUUUUCAGGGGAAACAUGACUUUGGCAAUUAUCCAGUACAAGUUCUGGGUAAUAAUGUUCCAUCAAGAAACUUUCAACAGAUGAACAAUAUGCAAAGCAGCAUUCAGUUCCAGGAAUUUCAUGGUACACAAAAACAAGAAAUGUCAUCUAGUAAUUCACUGGAAGAGCCAUUAUCAGACGUAGGGACUUGUAGCACUGUGGCUAGUCUAGAUCCUAUAGAACUGAAGCUCUUGUUUGGCUCUGAUGAUGAUCACAAUUGGGGUCUUCCAUCUGGAGGGAGCUUUAUCUCUGGCAUGGGUAGUGAUAUUCAUGGGCAUCCUUGAGAGAGUGGUUAUUAUGGUAUGUUUCCUUCUAUCCGUAGUGGGAGCUGUAGUGCUCUUAUACAAGAGGCUGUUCAAGCUUCCAUUGCUGAUAAGGGGCAGGAGGAAUGGAGUGGCAUGGGUUUUCAGAAAACAGAGCAACUGACCGGUAAAGCAUUUUGUAACUACUAAUGAUAAUGGGAAACAUGCAGCUGUUUGGGAUGAUAGCAACCUUAAGGGUGCAACUUCUUUAAUUCCGGGAACUUUUCCCUUGAUUAAUGGUGUUAAUGCAACCUCAAACUCUGAUCCUAGUAAUCGGCAUUCCUUUAAGUCCGCUUAUGAAGAAAACAACAAGGCUCUGACUGAGGUUCCCCAUGCAUCUUUCAAGUCUUCUUCCAGAGGACCCAGUAACAAAGAGUUCCUUCAGAGCAGAAUCAUACCCAAGCUGUGGAAGGUGGCCUUCAAGUUCAAGUACCUUCAACUAGUGGAGCCUGGGCUGGACAAACUAUUCAGCUGCGUGAAAUUAGUUCUGGUAACUUUUGAAGUCACAGGACAUAGGUGGUGUUUGGGGUAACCAACAAAACAUGUUCUCUUCUAAUGUUUCUAUCCUGCCUGUUGAUAAAAACUAAACAGCUUAAAUGCAAGUUAUCCUGUGGCAUCAAGAGGUGACAACACUUUAAAUUAUCAAGAAAUUGAUGACAGUUUGUGGAAGAUUGGUGAAAAUCAUGGUAAUCUGAAUUGUGGGUUGCAACCAGUUCAAACCGAUAUUAUUGGCAGCCCCAAGAUGCAAGCCGAAGAUUUUUUAGCAGGUCAGUUUGAUUCUGUAAAGAAACCAACACCUUAAAGUUGGACCAGGACAUGCAUCGACAGGUUCUCAAUGCACGGCAAACUGUCUUUGAGGAACAGUUUGCCCUUAAUUUAUGUGUGAAUUCUGGAGGUGACAAAGAUGUUAUUGAGAACCAGAAUCAACAAACGGGGAGACCACAAACUUGGAACACAUCUUUAAGUGCUGCUGCAGAAAGAUUGGGUGAUAGGCUACUAGAAGGAAUGCAGAAGAGUGGUCACAGAUGAGGGUUAUGUUGGAAAUGCAGCAAAAGAGAAGUCCUUAUUGACUGGUAAUAUAACCAGUUUAAAAUGUUGUGCAGUUCAUUGCAAAGUUUGAGGAAGACUGCAGGGCCCAUCCAACUCCAACUCCGUUUCUCAAGGAUCGAAUAAUGAGGAGCAACCAUUUGUUGGAAAGUCAGUCACAGUUUUCUGGUCAUACUGUUUCCAACAAUUCUGUGGAUGUGCCUAAGAGGAUUGCAGUGGGAACAGAAGAAUUGCUGUCGGGAAAUACCAUACCUCUUCCUGGCAAUUCUUUUGAUGGAUCAACUGCUCAAAUUUUCCAGAACGAGACAGUUGCUCCAACAAGGUACAUUAUGGACUAUCCAUUUAGCUCCAUUAUUUUAUCAUGAUCAUCCUCGCCAAGAAUUCCCUUGCGCUGAUGCAUUAUGCUGAUAGCUGCAUGGCGCUUGUCACUAUCAGAUAACCAUGAUAUGUGGUCAGGGUAUUGUACUCUCCCAUGCCUAGUGCUGGGACUGCCGAAAUGGGCAGGCUAUGCUUUUCAACGUUUGCUUUACCGUCCGGAUAAACUUAGAUGUUUGUUAUAAUGCUUAUAUAUGUCUGUGUCUUUUGGCAUGUUCAUAUCUUGUACAACAUAUAGAGGGGCGGCCGAAGGCUUAAUAGUCUCAUUUUAGUUUGGUUGGUAGCCUCUUUAGGCUUGUAAAUAAAUGUUGUGUCAUAUGGACACGUGCGAGAGAUUUUCGAUCUGUAA
Musa acuminata AAA Group (dessert banana) is the source of this 3854-nucleotide long non-coding RNA. RefSeq lists it as uncharacterized. The transcript has 3 exons. NCBI's taxonomy places the organism in Eukaryota, Viridiplantae, Streptophyta, Magnoliopsida, Zingiberales, Musaceae. The record is from RefSeq and is a predicted model, not a curated record.